AUUGAACGCUGGCGGCAGGCCUAACACAUGCAAGUCGAGCGAGCGGCGGACGGGUGAGUAAUGUAUGGGGCCUGCCCGAUAGAGGGGGAUAACUACUGGAAACGGUGGCUAAUACCGCAUAAUAUCGGAUAACCCCUAUGGGAUUAGCUAGUAGGUGGGGUAAAGGGUCACCUAGGCGACGAUCUCUAGCUGGUCUGAGGGGCUGAUCGGCCAAACUGGGACUGUGACACGGCCCAUACUCCUACGGAGUCAGCAGGGGGGAAUAGUGCGCAAUUGGCGCAAGCCUGAUGCAGCCAUGCCGCGUGUAUGAAGAGGGCCUUAGGGUUUUAGAGUACUUACAGCGGGUAGGGGUUACCCGCAGAAGAAGCACCGGCUAACUCCGUGCCAGCAGCCGCGGUAAUAC
This 403-nucleotide ribosomal RNA is filed under the name uncultured bacterium. RNAcentral describes it as "partial 16S ribosomal RNA". It matches the Rfam family "Bacterial small subunit ribosomal RNA", at positions 30 to 526 of the family's 1533-position model. The record is from RNAcentral.